UCGCUUGUUUUAACAAAAACAUGUCUUUUUGUUUAAAAUUUAAAGUCUAACCUGCCCACUGAUAAAUUUAAAGGGCCGCGGUAUAUUGACUGUGCAAAGGUAGCAUAAUCAUUUGUCUCUUAAUUGGAGGCUGGAAUGAAUGGUUGAAUGAAAUAUUAACUGUCUCAUUUUUAAAAUUAUAAAAAUUUAGCUUUUAAGUCAAAAGGCUUAAAUAUUAUUAGAGGACGAGAAGACCCUAUAGAUCUUUAUAAUUUAUUUAAUUUUAUAAUAUAGUAAAAUAAUUAAUAAAAUUAUUUAAAUUAUUUUAUUGGGGUGAUAGGAAAAUUUAAUAAACUUUUUUUAUUUAUAAACAUUGAUUUAUGAUUAAUUGAUCCAUUUUUAGUGAUUAAAAAAUUAAGUUACCUUAGGGAUAACAGCGUAAUUUUUUUAAAGAGUUCUUAUCGAUAAAAAAGAUUGCGACCUCGAUGUUGAAUUAAAGGUUAUUUCUAGAUGUAGCAGUUUAGAGUUUAGGUCUGUUCGACCUUUGAAUCUUUACAUGAUCUGAGUUCAAACCGGA
RNAcentral lists this ribosomal RNA (556 nucleotides) under Apertochrysa prasina. Its description in RNAcentral is "partial large subunit ribosomal RNA". It matches the Rfam family "Bacterial large subunit ribosomal RNA", at positions 1796 to 2620 of the family's 2925-position model. Lineage: Eukaryota; Metazoa; Arthropoda; Insecta; Neuroptera; Chrysopidae. The record is from RNAcentral.